GGGGCUGUAGCUCAGUGGCAGAGCACCUGCCUUGCACAUGUGAGGCACUGAGUUCAAUUCUCAGCACCA
RNAcentral lists this transfer RNA (69 nucleotides) under Ictidomys tridecemlineatus (thirteen-lined ground squirrel). Its description in RNAcentral is "Spermophilus tridecemlineatus (thirteen-lined ground squirrel) tRNA". It matches the Rfam family "tRNA". From Rfam's summary of the family: Transfer RNA (tRNA) molecules are approximately 80 nucleotides in length. Their secondary structure includes four short double-helical elements and three loops (D, anti-codon, and T loops). The record is from Rfam by way of RNAcentral. Lineage: Eukaryota; Metazoa; Chordata; Mammalia; Rodentia; Sciuridae.